UAUCUCUCCGUACGGGGAAGGAUGAGAAGCUUCGACUAAGGUUCGAUUCGAGCGCAGCGAGAAAGCGUUGCCGCAGGCAACGACCCGAAGGGUGAGGAGCGGAGCGACGAAUAAUCCUUCCCCCAUCACCA
RNAcentral lists this small RNA (131 nucleotides) under Salmonella enterica. RNAcentral's name for it is "RtT sRNA". It matches the Rfam family "RtT RNA". Rfam says of the family: This family represents a bacterial cis-regulatory element known as RtT RNA. The exact function of RtT is unknown although it is thought that it may be involved in changing the cellular response in relation to amino acid starvation. Lineage: Bacteria; Pseudomonadati; Pseudomonadota; Gammaproteobacteria; Enterobacterales; Enterobacteriaceae. RNAcentral also lists the same sequence under 1 other name. The record is from RNAcentral.